RNAcentral lists this long non-coding RNA (5223 nucleotides) under Sus scrofa (pig). Its description in RNAcentral is "lncRNA (ENSSSCG00000063528.1, ENSSSCG00160007803.1, ENSSSCG00180026138.1)". The record is from RNAcentral. Lineage: Eukaryota; Metazoa; Chordata; Mammalia; Artiodactyla; Suidae.
AAAGGGAACAGUCCUCAUAGCUCAUAAUCACAAAGGGUGUAUAAGAGCCUCUGUCCUAUGAGUGCCCACAUAUCAUGAGUUCAUGACUUCUAAUUGCCACAGGAAUAGAGUUCUCUGGACAGUCUGGAUGAUGUGCUCACUCCUGGUAAAGCGGAGUUGCCUCCAUUAGGACCACGUGAAGUAGGAUCUGCAAAGAAGAAAGUAGUUGUGUUCCUAGAAGAUGGAGGAAUUCUGGGCAGGCGAAAAACUGGUCGAUGUCAAGAAACAAUGACUGUUUUCAGAAUUAUUUUCUGCUGUCCUCUUUGGGAGGAUUUGCAUUGCCAGACCAGUUGUCUACUAAAGCUAGAUCAUGACAAAUCCUUGACCUCCGGAUAUACACAAAUGCUUAAAAUUCUCUUGGUAAGAGUAGAAGACAGGCAUCCACUCCAUCCAAAGAUGACAUCAAAUAGUCAAGCUGUAAGGUAAGAAGAGUGGUGGAAAAAGAACUCUAAACAAUAUAAUAAUAGUCUAGGGAUGUGGGGAGUAGGUUGAGGAAUAUAGAUGAAAUAAAAAUGUAGAAAGUCGAUCAUUGUUGGAGCUGAAUAAUAAGCACAUGAGAGUUUAUUAUACUAUCCCAUUUUGUUUGCAUAUGUUUGAAUUUUUCCUUCUUACAAGGUAAAUUUUUUUAAAUGGUGGAGAUUGGCAGUGAGUGAUGGCAGAAUGCAUCCUUUUUAAAAUGACAAAUGGAAAUUACUGUUUUAGGUUUCAAGAUGUCAUUCUUCUCAAACUCCUGAAAUAGCAUUACACUAUGGGCUUGGUAUGGAAAUCAGAUGAGAAUCUGUCUUAAACCCAUCCAUCAUAUCCCAUAAUUAACCAAUUACCUGAGUCAAAGGCUAAGGUUAAAAAAUGCAAGUAAUCUUAUAAUUGCCUCAGCAGAUUUUUUUAGAAAGGCAAUAAUAUAUGUUAGUUGCCAUAAUGGAAAUGCCAUGCAUCAGACCUGUCUGCUCCUUGGCUAUGAUUUUGACCUAAGGAUUCCAGAAUUGUAUUCUAUUAAAGAAAACAUUUCUUUUAAAGUGGAUUUGUGUUACAUUAUUGAGUUUACUAUCUUGAGAACACCACAUAUUUCCUUAUUCAAAAAUGAGAUAGACUGUACUUUGAGUUCCACCCAUACGGUUGAAAGGAGAGAGAAAAAAGAAAAGACAGAAGAGUGGGGACCUGGUACCCACUCUUCCAUAGCAGUACCUGUUGUAGUUCUGGAGCUGAAAGAAUCUUCCCAAGGAACUUUAUUUAGCUUAAGCCUUCUAUUUCACUCCAACAUAUGUGUGAGAAAUAGCCAGAUCUAGGGAAAAAACCCUCUAUAAAUUCCAUGGCUCUUGACUUGGUUUAUAGAUAAUAAAACAUGUUUCUGGCAUGUCAACCAGGAAUAAUCUAAGCCUCUAUCUGGCUUUAUUCACCAGCUUUAUUUUUAUUUUUAAAAUUAUUUUAUUUUUUAUUAUUAAAGUAUAGUCGAUUUACAUGCUUAGUCACCAACUUUAUAACUUAUAUAUCCACAUUUUUUCUUUCUUUUUUUUUAAACUAUAUCCAGUGGUCAAAUAUGGGUCCUCUGAGUUGAGUUUAUUAUUUUUGUUAUACUGAAAAGGAUUUAGGUAGGACAUAAGAGGAUUAAUAUUAUAUUUCAGUUUUAUUAAGUUUAGGAGUUUUUUCUUAGGAUUUUCAUUUUGCAUGUCAUCUCACUAGCUUGGCUCUGAUGUAUAAAUAUGUGUGUGUGUGUGUGUGUGUGUGUGUGUAUGUGUGUGUGUUAUGAGUGUGUAUAGUCUACAAAGAGAAAUAUGAACAUACCGAUAUAGUAGGGUCAUGCUCAGCAUAUUAUAAACAUUUUAUCUCUUUUAUUUGAAACGUUUUCCCUCUCAAUGAAUAUUUCUGUCGAUCUGUAUCAUUUGUCUUACCGGCCCCACUGCUGGUUACAAACUCAAGGAAAAAAGAGGAUCAGUAAAUGUCCUCUGAGGGCAGAGUCUCAGCCAGAUGGCUGACCUUCAUGUUCAUCUUUAAUUCCGCCAUAUUGAUUAGAAGCACUACCUUAGAGGAAGAGGAUCUGAGCCUUUUGUCACUCACUGUCUUGUUUCCUUUGUCCUUUGUUUCAGCUUGGUAAUUGAUAUGGUUGGUAUGCCCAGAGGAACUUUUGAGCACUGGGCACAGAUUUUCACAUCCAAAAAUAAACAAAUAAAGAGGUUCCAGCCAAUUCCACUGAGUGGGGAUGCUCAGUACAGUCAAGUGGGAUGUAGCCACACAACAGGAAUGUGUUAAGUUGAUAAAUGUGCUCCUGCAUUGAUGCCUUUGCUUCUGUGCUGCAUUUGGCAGCAAAUACAAACCCUUCCUAACUUAGCAAUUUCAGUUCCUUCCAUUAAACUCCCCAUGUUCAUCUCUUUUGUUUUUCUGACCAUCUGUGCUCAAAGUCCUCUACCAUAAAAUUCACAAAUAUUUUUGCUAAGCUGAACAAAUCAGUUUUUCCAUAAAUCAAAGAAAGAGGUCCUUUUCAAAUCCCCCAAAUUCUGUAAAAUAAGAAUAGAGUACUUAGUUUUUGUGUCCCUUUGGACCUAGAUGUAGCAAAUGAGUCAAAGCAAAAUGUUUUUGGAACAUCAUUGUUUCUUACCAGUUAUAUAGAUAUAUGGUUCUUUCUUGAGUUAUUUAAAACUCAAGAAAUUAUGGUUCAUUUUGUUGCUUAAAGGGAUUUGAGGUUCAUAAUUGCACCACAUAGCCAGUAGUCUAAGUCUCUAAUGCAAAAUAUUACACACUAUAAACAUUCAAAAACAAGUUGAAUGAAUGAAUUAAUAAAUGAACAUUGUAUAUGUCACUGAAUUAUACCUAUUAAAAAAUGCUUAACACUGACCUAGUAUAUCUUAGGCAUCUGAUGAAUAUGAGGUGAUAUUAACAUGCAUAUGUGAACAACUGGAUAAAAUAGAUUUUAUUUCAAUAAUGUUAUUCAUAUAUGUAUUGACUAAACAACUAUUUGUUGAGGAUUCACUCUUUGCCAAGAACAGUGCUAAUACUUGGUGAAAUAGAGAUGUAGUCCCUGAUGUUGCAGAGUUUCAUGCUGUGGGAAUAGUAGACAUUAACACAAUAUUUGCAUUUAGGAUCAUGUGAUGGGGAACAUACUUUGAGAAAGAAACCAUUUUGUGUGAGAGAGUAUGACAAAGAAAUUCUAAUGCUAGAUGUGGACAAAGGCUCAGGAAAGUCUUUCCUACAGAAGCAGUGUUUAAUCUGAGUCCUAAUGGAUAAGCAGGAAAGAUAAUUGGAAAUAAGGUGUCACUGAUGUAGUAUUCUUGACAAAAUGUUUAACCCAAAUCUAAUCUUGAGUGAGAAAACAAUUAAAUCCAUACCGUGCGAAGUUCUCCAAAAUAGAAUGUUGGUGGGGAAAGUGUGGGAGACUUAUGGCUAAGAUAAAAUGGAGUUUCAUAUUAUAACCAGUUGUAUUAGCUAUCUUUUGCUGUGUAAAAAAUUAUUCCAAACCUAGCUGCUUAAAACUAUAAUAAACAUUAAUUAUUAUUUAUUAUCUUAUAGAGUUAUGAGAGUCAAGAAUUCAGGACCAAGCUAGGUGUGCGGUUCUGGCUCCAGUCUCUUUUUCUGUGAGUUUUUUUUUUUUUUUAAGUAUAAUUGACCUGAAGCAAUAUGUCAUUUCCUGUUAUACAACACAAUAAUUUGAUAUUUCUAUACAUUUCAUAAAGAUCUCUAUUAUAAAUCUAGUUAUAAUCUGCCAUCAAAUGAAGAUAUCACAUAAUUAUUGACUAUAUUCCCAACACUGUGCAUUUUGUACCCAUGACUCAUUUAUUGUGCAACUGGGAAUUUGUACCUCUUAAUCUCCCUCACCUAUUUCUCUUGUCUUCCCACCUCCCUUCUCUGUGGCAACCGUCUAUUUGUUCUCUGUAUCUGUGACUGUUUCUGUUUGUUCAUUUGUUUUGUUUUUUAGAUUCCAUAUUUAAAGUGAAAUCAUACAGUAUUUUUCUUUCUCUAUGACAUUUCAUCAACAUAAUACCCUCUAAAUCCAUUACAAUUGUAUCAAAAAGAAUAAAAUACCUAGGAAUAAAUCUAAGUAAGGAAGUAAAAGAUUUGUACUUGGAAAAUGAUAAGACAUUGGUGAAAGAAAUGGAAGAUAAUAUAAAGAGAAAGGUAUACCAUACUCAUGGAUGGAAGAACUAAUAUUGUUAAAAUGACAUACUACCCAAGGUGUCUACAUAUUCAAUUCAAUCCCUAUCAAAAUAUCAAUGGCAUUUUUCAUAGAACUACAACUAAUAAUUCCAAAAUUUGUAUGGAAACACAAAAGACCUCAAAUAGAUAGCUAAAACCAUCUUGAGCAAGAAGAACAAAGCUGGAGGUAUCAUGCUCCCUGAUUUCAAACUAUACUACAAAGCUGCAGUAAUCAAAACAGUAUGAGACUAGCACAAAAACAGAUACAUAGAUCAAUGGAACAGAAUAAAGAGCCCAGAAAUGAACCCAUACUUAUAUGGGCAAUUAACCUAUGAUAAGGGGGGCAAGAAUAUACAGUGGGGGAAAAGAGAGCCUCUUCAAUAAAUGGUAUUGGAAAAACUGGACUACUCUCUCACACAUGUACAAAAAUAAAUUCAAAAUGAAUUAAAGACUUAAACUAAGACUCCAAGCCAUAAAAUUCUAGAGAAAAACAUGGGCAGUACACUGUUUGACAUCAGGUUUAGCAAUAUGUUUUUUGAAUAUGUCUUCUCAGGCAAGGGAAACAAAAGCAAAAGUAAACAAAUGGGACUACAUCAAAUUAAAAAGAUUUUACAUAGAGAAAGAAACUAUCAAGAAAACAAAAAGACCACCUAGUGAAUGGAAGAAGAUAUUUGCAAAUGAUACAUUCAAUAGGGUUAAUAUUCAAAAUGUACAAAGUGCUCAUGAAACUCAACAUUAAAAAAACCAAGCAACCUGAUUAAAAAAUGGGCAGAAGAUCUGAAUAGACAUUUUUCCAAGGAAGACACGCAAAUGUCCAACAGGUACAUGAAAAUAUCCUCAACAUCCCAAAUCAUGAGGGAAAAACAAAUCAAAACCACAAUGCAAUAUCACCUCACACUUGUCAGAAUGGCUAUCAUCAAAAAGAAAAUAAGUGUCGAUGAGGGUAUAGAGGAAAGAGAACACUUCUGAACUGUUGAUGGGAAUAUAAAUUUGUGUAGCCAUUAUGGAAAACAGUAUGGAGAUCCCUCAAAAAAGUAAAAAUAGAACUACCAUAUGAUCCAG